Molecule: ribosomal RNA, 462 nt
Filed under: uncultured Methanosaeta sp.
Lineage: Archaea; Methanobacteriati; Methanobacteriota; Methanomicrobia; Methanotrichales; Methanotrichaceae
Description: bacterial SSU rRNA
Rfam family: Archaeal small subunit ribosomal RNA
Source: RNAcentral
CACCACAACGGGUGGAGCUUGCGGUUUAAUUGGAUUCAACGCCGGAAAUCCUACCGGGACCGACAGCAAUAUGAAGGCCAGGCUGAAGACUUUGCCGGAUUAGCUGAGAGGUGGUGCAUGGCCGUCGUCAGUUCGUACUGUGAAGCAUCCUGUUAAGUCAGGCAACGAGCGAGACCCACGCCCACAGUUGCCAGCGUACUCUCUGGAGUGACGGGUACACUGUGGGGACCGCCGCUGCUAAAGCGGAGGAAGGAAUGGGCAACGGUAGGUCAGUAUGCCCCGAAUAUCCCGGGCUACACGCGAGCUACAAUGGUUGGUACAAUGGGUAUCUACCCCGAAAGGGGACGGGAAUCUCCUAAAACCAAUCUUAGUUCGGAUUGAGGGCUGCAACUCGCCCUCAUGAAGCUGGAAUCCGUAGUAAUCGCGUUUCAACAGAACGCGGUGAAUACAUCCCUGCUCCUU